This 245-nucleotide long non-coding RNA is filed under the name Fukomys damarensis (Damara mole-rat). RNAcentral describes it as "lncRNA (ENSFDAG00000031573.1)". The record is from RNAcentral. Lineage: Eukaryota; Metazoa; Chordata; Mammalia; Rodentia; Bathyergidae.
GUGCCAGGUUGGAGGCUGCGCGCGAAGACUGAGGGGCACUUCUGCAGGUAGUUAGGUUGUUACCUGGGACUUCAGAAAUUCAUCUCUCUGCACUGGAUUUGCCCAUCACAAUUUAAAGAAGCGAUGACUGUGAUCUCAGAGGCACCAUGAGCAGGAACUGGGGCAAGUGGAUGGAUUUUAAAAUGUGAAGGUAGUGGUUUUGGCAUGAUUUGCUUAUAAUGACUUAUAAUGAAUAGCUUGAUGGG